Molecule: long non-coding RNA, 701 nt
Organism: Mytilus californianus (California mussel)
Lineage: Eukaryota; Metazoa; Mollusca; Bivalvia; Mytilida; Mytilidae
Exons: 4
Source: RefSeq, a predicted model, not a curated record
AUUCCGAGCAAAAUCUGUUCUUUGUUUUGAUUUUAGUGAGAAGCGCAUCCUUGAUUUUUUUUUACGAAAAUAACCGAAAAUAACGAUUCCCCCCAAAUAAGGGACGACAUCAAAAGUUCAAUGUAGGAUAAAAAAAAACUUAAUUCACAUAGUUUUUUCACUGACCCCCCCCCCCCCCCUCUUAACUUAAUUUGGGAAAAAUUGAUUGACCAAUAUGGAUAUAUGUAAAAUCGAUUUUGGAUAAACAAAACUUGCAGCAAUUUUAACCCCCCACCCCCAAACUAUUUGAUUUAAGUUUUUUUAUCCUACAUUGAUCUUUUGAUGUCAUCCCUAAGAAUGAAAAUAAAGUUAAAAUUUUAAUCGGCUAACCUCGGGGGACUCCGCUUCUCUCAGUCUAUAGUGUUAGAUGGAGGUACGGAAUCGGCCGAGUUGUGACGAACGAUUUCUGAUCCUGUUUGGGUAGCGAGAUUUCAGCGAGAUCACAACAUCAUUGCCGCCAUAUUUGAAAGAAAUUUUCCAAACGGCUUUCUAAUGAAUUUAUGCCAUGAAGCGUGUAAAAGUUACUACAUUUAAACAGUUAGAGUCUGCUGAUCAUGUUGAAGAUAGUGACACCGAAUUUGAAGAUGACUACAUUGAUGUUAGAAAUGCAAAGCGCAAAAUAGCCAGGAAACGUGAAAAAACAUCAAAUGUAUUAAAAGAUA